Molecule: non-coding RNA, 237 nt
Organism: Phascolarctos cinereus (koala)
Lineage: Eukaryota; Metazoa; Chordata; Mammalia; Diprotodontia; Phascolarctidae
Source: RefSeq, a predicted model, not a curated record
AAGAAAGGAUGGCAAAUCGAGCUCUGUGAAACCUUUUCUUUCAAGAAUGCUUCAGUUUACUCAACUGUGAAUGAUAUCCAUUGGAGCCCUUCCACCAAUGUCCCAAACAUCAGUCUUGUUUGCUUCAGUGGAAAAUAGAGGAAAGUAAUGGAAGCAAUCCAUAAUGGAGGGACCGUGAGAAGGCUGGAAGCUGCGACACUCAACCGCUUGCGAUACUGAAAAUAGGGCAACUACCCG